Molecule: transfer RNA, 72 nt
Filed under: Pangasianodon gigas (Mekong giant catfish)
Lineage: Eukaryota; Metazoa; Chordata; Actinopteri; Siluriformes; Pangasiidae
Description: tRNA-Glu
Rfam family: tRNA
About the family: Transfer RNA (tRNA) molecules are approximately 80 nucleotides in length.
Source: RNAcentral
UCCCUGGAGGACUAGUGGUUAGGCCACAGUGCUCUCACCGCUGCGGCCCAGGUUCGUUUCCCAGCCAGGGAA